CCCAACGUCCCUCAGGUCUCCCCGCUGCCCUGGCCCCGUGGGAGCGUGUGCACAGUGCCUCCGCAGCCUGGAAGCUUCAGCUAGGCUUGUGUGGCAGGUGGCCUCACUGACAUCCUUGGCUGGAUGGUGGGCAGAAGGAGACUUGCCCUUGAGGGACUGACGUCUGGGUGUCAGGUAGGGGCUCACACAGCGGGCAUUCUCCCUUGUGUGACCCCAUCCAUGGCCUUCUUGGCCGACUCCAUUCCUAGAGCUUCUCUGACACCACCCCCCACACACACACAUACAAUGCCUGACACACACCCCACACACCCCUCUACCUCCUGCCAGCCAGCCCUGGGGGCCUGCAGUGUCCUGGGAAAGCUGUGUUUUCAUAGCCAGGCUGGUUUCCUGCCCCUGGGGACUUGUGCUUCUCACCUGUGCCCCCACGGAGAGGGUCAUGGGGACAGCUCCAGGCUGAGGAAUUGAUCCAGCACCACCGCCCCCUGUGGUGGAGACAGCAAGCCCCUCCCAUGGGUGUCCCCGCCCUCUUCCUGACUCAGUUUUCUCAUCUGUAAAGGCCAUUAUGAGAAUUUACCCAGCUAACACACGCAAAGUGCUUGGGAAAGAGACAGCCACACAGUAAAUGGUGGUUACAGCCCUGUCAACCCAGAAGCGACGUGGGGCAGGCCCUGCGCUCACACAGAUGCCCCCAGGGCCUCUCACCCCUGACUUCUCCCCUCUUUACAUCCGUCUGCUUUACUCUUUCCCAGCUACCGUGGAUCUCCUAGUUCCACAAAACAGAAAGGAAGUUUUCAAAAGAAAGUUGACCAUAAAUAAAACAAAUUUUAAAAACUGAAAGGUGGGGAAGAGAAGCAAAACUGGUGAAUGCACAGGCCUCGGACUGGACAAGCUGCACAGCCCAGCCGUCCUGUGGCCACAUCUGUGCCCCUCGCACGGGUCUGUGUUCUCUUCUGCCCUUGUUUGUUCCAAGGUCACAACCCUUCCUUCCGUGCCUGUCUCUGGGGCUGGGUAGACUGUGCCAGGAGGUUCCAGCUCAGCCACAGCUGGAAGAGACGCUGAGGAUGUCCCAGCCCCUCUCUUGCGGAGAGGCAACAUAGAAACGCAAGCUGCUCUUUGCCUCACUUUGCUCAUUUGCAAGAUGGAUGUACAGUUGGGAUCUCUCAUAGGGCUUUUGCGAUAUAUAAAUGUAGAUGCUUAUGACGUGAAAUUGAAGGUUUGGGAGAUUUUGAA
Molecule: long non-coding RNA, 1230 nt
Organism: Sapajus apella (tufted capuchin)
Lineage: Eukaryota; Metazoa; Chordata; Mammalia; Primates; Cebidae
Exons: 2
Source: RefSeq, a predicted model, not a curated record